UCCUACGGGGGGCAGCAGUGAGGAAUAUUGGUCAAUGGUCGGGAGACUGAACCAGCCAAGCCGCGUGAGGGAUGAAGGUACAGAGUAUCGUAAACCUCUUUUGUCAGGGAACAAAGGCGGGGACGUGUCCCCGGAUGAGUGUACCUGAAGAAAAAGCAUCGGUUAACUCCGUGCCAGCAGCCGCGGUAAUACGGAGGAUGCGAGCGUUAUCCGGAUUUAUUGGGUUUAAAGGGUGCGCAGGCGGUCUGUUAAGUCAGCGGUCAAAGCCCGGGGCUCAACCCCGGCCCGCCGUUGAAACUGGCAGG
RNAcentral lists this ribosomal RNA (305 nucleotides) under uncultured bacterium. RNAcentral describes it as "bacterial SSU rRNA". It matches the Rfam family "Bacterial small subunit ribosomal RNA", at positions 337 to 640 of the family's 1533-position model. The record is from RNAcentral.